Molecule: long non-coding RNA, 1663 nt
Organism: Oryzias melastigma (Indian medaka)
Lineage: Eukaryota; Metazoa; Chordata; Actinopteri; Beloniformes; Adrianichthyidae
Exons: 3
Source: RefSeq, a predicted model, not a curated record
CCUUCUGCUUGCACAUGCCUCUUCAUCUCUUUUCCUACACUCUCUUUUGCUCUGGACUGUUGACUCUGAGUACUUCACCUCCUUCACCUCCUUCACCUCUGCUCCCUGUAACCUCAUUGUUCUACUUGAGUCCAUCUCAUUUACACACACAUACUAUGUUUUUCUGUCUUAAGUGUGAAGGACAUUUUUAUUCUGUAAAGCACUUUUGGUUACAAGUGUAUGAAAAGUGCUUUAUAAAUAAAGUUUGAUUUAAUCUUGGUCUGUCUAUUACCACAAGGCUGAUCCUUGAUGCAGUCCCACCUCUGUUUCACCUACAGGACUUCUCACCUCUGUCUUACAGCACUCAUCAGUGUCCUGCACAACUUUCUUGACUAUCUACCAACUACCUCUGGAGAGUCUCCUCAGCACCUCUGGACGAGAUUUUCUAGGUCACCAAGCCAAGACAUAUGGAAAUGUCAGCACCUCCCAGGAGACGGUCACUAAUGCCAAGACGUGUGGCGAGCAUAGACUAGGGCCGGGUGUACACUCCGUCCAGCUGUGGCUGGGACCACCGGCCAACCUAUUAACCCGACGACGUGCCCAGCCCUCUGCCUCCACCCGUGAGGGAAACUAAUUGUGAGUGUUAUUGAUUGCCACAGCAGAUCUGUGCUGUCCAGUGGGUAAAUAAGAUGGAUGGAGUUGUCAGGUUGUCAUCAGGCCGGGUUUUUUGACAGCAUGCCUCAGGGCGUGUACAACACAGCGCAGGUUAAGUGAAGCACUCGCUGUGCGGCGAAGCGGUUGCUUUGACUUUGGACAAAGGUGUUGAGAAUGCAAUGUCUUGUUUUACUACACGACUUGUUCUUCAGUCCAGUUCGUUAGUCUUCACUCAGAAAGAAAAAAUCCAGGUCAACACAUUGUCAAUCUUUUUUUUUUUUUUCUAGAUUGGUGCCUCACUGUUUUGGGAGUUAGUUAUUUUUUUGACACAUUAACAAAAAGAAGCAAAAAUGAAGCAAACGAGAAGUUAAAUUGAAAGCUCGAUGCAAAUACUUAAUACAUGUUAAUUCUACAAAAACUUAAAUUAGUGUUUUAUUUGUGUCUUAACUUAAACUAGGACCAGAUCAUGACUAAAUUAAUACCCAGCCUAUCAGUCGAUAGUUAACAUGUAAGCUGUGCUUAAGGGUAAAAAAACUAUAAAUUGUUCACACCAUGAUAGACAGCAUGUCCAAAGCCCGGCUCUUGAGGCCAAAUUCCAACUGGGAACUAAGUGACAUAUAGUAACUGGAAAACUGUAUGUACAUUUACUUUUCUUUAUUGAGCAGUGAAGAUAUUGUGUUUUACUUUCUUUUUUCAACGCCUAAUAUGGGUGUAACACUUAAAUGACUAAAUAGAUGAAAUGAAUCCAAAGAUCGAUGUGUCAGAAGCACGUUACUAAUCAAAUCGCAAAUAUCAUUAUAAAGUUGUUCUUAAAAAAAUAAAGAAAUUAUAUUUUGUGGCAGUGUUCUUAACAGUAAAAACUAAAACCAAUCAAAAUUAAGAUGAACAACCAAAAAGUCCUAUUGACUGAUCAAUUCAUUGUAGAAAAUAAAAAUAAAAAUGACAAAGAUUUAUCAACUCAUUACAGAAAUAUUCAAAUGCUUUUAUUAAACAAACAAACUAAAACAUACUUGAGUCGCAUUGAGUCAUU